AAGUGCGAAUGCUGACAUAAGUAACGAUAAAACGGGUGAAAAACCCGUUCGCCGGAAGACCAAGGGUUCCUGUCCAACGUUAAUCGGGGCAGGGUGAGUCGGCUCCUAAGGCGAGGCUGAAAAGCGUAGUCGAUGGGAAACAGGUUAAUAUUCCUGUACUUGGUAAAGCUGCGAUGUGGGGACGGAGUAGGUUAGGUUAUCGCACUGUUGGAUAUGUGCGUUUAAGUUGGUAGGUGGGAAGUUUAGGCAAAUCCGGGCUUCCUUAACACAGAGAGAUGAUGACGAGGCUCUACGGAGCUGAAGUAACUGAUACCACACUUCCAGGAAAAGCCACUAAGCGAAAGGCUUUACUAAACCGUACUGAAAACCGACACAGGUGGUCAGGUAGAGAAUACUCAGGCGCUUGAGAGAACUCGGGUGAAGGAACUAGGCAAAAUAGCACCGUAACUUCGGGAGAAGGUGCGCCGGCGUAGAUUGUAAGGGCUAGCCCCUGAAGGUUGAACCGGUCGAAGAUACCAGCUGGCUGCAACUGUUUAUUAAAAACACAGCACUCUGCAAACACGAAAGUGGACGUAUAGGGUGUGAUGCCUGCCCGGUGCUGGAAGGUUAAUUGAUGGUGUAAUCGAAAGAGAAGCACCUGAUCGAAGCCCCAGUAAACGGCGGCCGUAACUAUAACGGUCCUAAGGUAGCGAAAUUCCUUGUCGGGUAAGUUCCGACCUGCACGAAUGGCAUAAUGAUGGCCAGGCUGUCUCCACCCGAGACUCAGUGAAAUUGAAAUCGCCGUGAAGAUGCGGUGUACCCGCGGCUAGACGGAAAGACCCCGUGAACCUUUACUAUAGCUUGACACUGAACAUUGAAUUUUGAUGUGUAGGAUAGGUGGGAGCCUUUGAAGCAGUGACGCCAGUCAUUGUGGAGGCGACCUUGAAAUACCACCCUUUAACGUUUGAUGUUCUAACGAAGAUGACGAAACGUGGUCUCGGACAGUGUCUGGUGGGUAGUUUGACUGGGGCGGUCUCCUCCCAAAGUGUAACGGAGGAGCACGAAGGUUUGCUAAUCACGGUCGGACAUCGUGAGGUUAGUGCAAUGGUAUAAGCAAGCUUAACUGCGAGACAGACAAGUCGAGCAGGUACGAAAGUAGGUCAUAGUGAUCCGGUGGUUCUGAAUGGAAGGGCCAUCGCUCAACGGAUAAAAGGUACUCCGGGGAUAACAGGCUGAUACCGCCCAAGAGUUCAUAUCGACGGCGGUGUUUGGCACCUCGAUGUCGGCUCAUCACAUCCUGGGGCUGAAGUAGGUCCCAAGGGUAUGGCUGUUCGCCAUUUAAAGUGGUACGCGAGCUGGGUUUAGAACGUCGUGAGACAGUUCGGUCCCUAUCUGCCGUGGGCGUAGGAGAAUUGGUUGGGGCUGCUCCUAGUACGAGAGGACCGGAGUGGACGCACCACUGGUGUUCCGGUUGUGUCGCCAGACGCAUUGCCGGGUAGCUAAGUGCGGAAGAGAUAAGUGCUGAAAGCAUCUAAGCACGAAACUUGCCAAGAGAUGAGUUCUCCCAAUCUAAGAGAUUGUAAGGGUUGUUGUAGACUACGACGUAGAUAGGUCUGGUGUGUAAGUGUAGUGAUGCAUUGAGCUAACAGAUACUAAUUGCCCGAGAGGCUUAACUAUACAACGCUCAAG
RNAcentral lists this ribosomal RNA (1668 nucleotides) under Haemophilus influenzae. RNAcentral's name for it is "partial 23S ribosomal RNA". It matches the Rfam family "Bacterial large subunit ribosomal RNA", at positions 1286 to 2925 of the family's 2925-position model. The record is from RNAcentral. Lineage: Bacteria; Pseudomonadati; Pseudomonadota; Gammaproteobacteria; Pasteurellales; Pasteurellaceae.